RNAcentral lists this ribosomal RNA (645 nucleotides) under bacterium HN3-16-43. RNAcentral describes it as "bacterial SSU rRNA". It matches the Rfam family "Bacterial small subunit ribosomal RNA", at positions 338 to 974 of the family's 1533-position model. The record is from RNAcentral.
CCUACGGGAGGCAGCAGUAGGGAAUCUUCCACAAUGGGCGAAAGCCUGAUGGAGCAACGCCGCGUGAGUGAAGAAGGAUUUCGGUUCGUAAAACUCUGUUGUAAGGGAAGAACAAGUACAGUAGUAACUGGCUGUACCUUGACGGUACCUUAUUAGAAAGCCACGGCUAACUACGUGCCAGCAGCCGCGGUAAUACGUAGGUGGCAAGCGUUGUCCGGAAUUAUUGGGCGUAAAGCGCGCGCAGGUGGUUUCUUAAGUCUGAUGUGAAAGCCCACGGCUCAACCGUGGAUGGUCAUUGGAAACUGGGAGACUUGAGUGCAGAAGAGGAUAGUGGAAUUCCAAGUGUAGCGGUGAAAUGCGUAGAGAUUUGGAGGAACACCAGUGGCGAAGGCGACUAUCUGGUCUGUAACUGACACUGAGGCGCGAAAGCGUGGGGAGCAACCAGGAUUAGAUACCCUGGUAGUCCACGCCGUAAACGAUGAGUGCUAAGUGUUAGGGGGUUUCCGCCCCUUAGUGCUGCAGCUAACGCAUUAAGCACUCCGCCUGGGGAGUACGGUCGCAAGACUGAAACUCAAAGGAAUCGACGGGGGCCCGCACAAGCGGUGGAGCAUGUGGUUUAAUUCGAAGCAACGCGAAGAACCUUAC